RNAcentral lists this transfer RNA (77 nucleotides) under Hydrogenophilus thermoluteolus. RNAcentral's name for it is "tRNA-Ile". It matches the Rfam family "tRNA". Rfam says of the family: Transfer RNA (tRNA) molecules are approximately 80 nucleotides in length. RNAcentral also lists the same sequence under 1 other name. The record is from RNAcentral. Lineage: Bacteria; Pseudomonadati; Pseudomonadota; Hydrogenophilia; Hydrogenophilales; Hydrogenophilaceae.
GGGCUCAUAGCUCAAUCGGUUAGAGCAGCGGACUCAUAAUCCGUUGGUUGCAGGUUCGAGUCCUGCUGGGCCCACCA